Molecule: ribosomal RNA, 400 nt
Filed under: uncultured bacterium
Lineage: Bacteria
Description: bacterial SSU rRNA
Rfam family: Bacterial small subunit ribosomal RNA
Source: RNAcentral
GGGGAAUAUUGGACAAUGGGCGAAAGCCUGAUCCAGCCAUGCCGCGUGAGUGAUGAAGGCCCUAGGGUUGUAAAGCUCUUUCAGUGGGGAAGAUAAUGACGGUACCCACAGAAGAAGCCCCGGCUAACUUCGUGCCAGCAGCCGCGGUAAUACGAAGGGGGCUAGCGUUGUUCGGAAUUACUGGGCGUAAAGCGCGCGUAGGCGGACUUUUAAGUCAGGGGUGAAAUCCCGAGGCUCAACCUCGGAACAGCCUUUGAGACUGGAGGUCUCGAGUCCGAGAGAGGUGAGUGGAAUUCCGAGUGUAGAGGUGAAAUUCGUAGAUAUUCGGAGGAACACCAGUGGCGAAGGCGGCUCACUGGCUCGGUACUGACGCUGAGGUGCGAAAGCGUGGGGAGCAAAC